Molecule: long non-coding RNA, 800 nt
Organism: Stegostoma tigrinum
Lineage: Eukaryota; Metazoa; Chordata; Chondrichthyes; Orectolobiformes; Stegostomatidae
Exons: 3
Source: RefSeq, a predicted model, not a curated record
UUGAGUUCUCGCCGUGCAUCCCGCUUGUCUCUCCGGAGCUGCCUCUCGAUCUCCGCGUUGAUCCUUUUGGCUUCUUUCGCCUCUUCGCUCAGGCAACACGCCAUGAUGGAGUCGAGAGUCAUGUAGCCGACUGACAGGGCGGACGGUUUCCAAUGGCCUUGUUCCGUAUUCCAGCGACCAGAACAUCUGCGGAUCAACAAGAGGGCACUUCUUGUCCGAAUUCAAAUCUGUCCCGAAACACUCAGAUCAAGUGCACUCAAAAUGACAAAAUGUUCAUAAAUAAACUCGCGCUUUCAUAUGUUUGAAUUUCCCAUAUUGAUAUUGAAUCAUUAAGACCAUUGUAUAAUUUCAUCUACAAGAUUCAAUGAUACAAACGCAUUUUUAACACAAAGUAAUGGAUACUGUUGCUGUGUUCCUUUCGUCAUUUUUAUGCUUUGGGGAAGACGCUACAACAUUGAAAGGCUACAGUAACGAUAACCUCUGACUUUAACAUUGUGAUUACGAAAACAAAACUCAAGUUAUUCACUGUCUCAGCACUGAAACAGGAAAGAACCAUAAAUGCAAUAGAAUUUUAAAAAAUGAAUCAAAUGCAACAAGUAUCAACAUCUGUGAACAAUGUAAAUCAACAAAAGGCUAAAACAGCUAAACAACAAUGUAUUGCAGUCAAACAGGUGGCAAGAGAGAGGACACGUCUCCCACAUCCUACAUAGCCAUAAUAUACUGUCUCCCAUCUUUGUCACAUACUCUGUGGUGGACUGAAUUGUUUCAAUUCUAUAUAUAAAUCAAGAGUAAAUGUUUGC